Molecule: ribosomal RNA, 425 nt
Filed under: uncultured bacterium
Lineage: Bacteria
Description: bacterial SSU rRNA
Rfam family: Bacterial small subunit ribosomal RNA
Source: RNAcentral
GGGGAAUUUUGGACAAUGGGCGAAAGCCUGAUCCAGCCAUGCCGCGUGAGUGAAGAAGGCCUUCGGGUUGUAAAGCUCUUUCGGCUGGGAAGAAAUCGCACAGGCUAAUACUCUGUGUGGAUGACGGUACCAGCACAAGAAGCACCGGCUAACUACGUGCCAGCAGCCGCGGUAAUACGUAGGGUGCGAGCGUUAAUCGGAAUUACUGGGCGUAAAGCGUGCGCAGGCGGUUGUGCAAGACAGAUGUGAAAUCCCCGGGCUCAACCUGGGAACUGCAUUUGUGACUGCACGACUAGAGUACGGCAGAGGGGGGUAGAAUUCCACGUGUAGCAGUGAAAUGCGUAGAGAUGUGGAGGAAUACCGAUGGCGAAGGCAGCCCCCUGGGCCGAUACUGACGCUCAUGCACGAAAGCGUGGGGAGCAAAC